UACGUAGGGUGCGAGCGUUAAUCGGAAUUACUGGGCGUAAAGCGUGCGCAGGCGGUUCGUUGUGUCGGCGGGGAAAGCCCCGGGCUCAACCUGGGAAUGGCCGUUGAAACUGGCGAACUGGAGUGUGGCAGAGGGGGGUGGAAUUCCGCGUGUAGCAGUGAAAUGCGUAGAGAUGCGGAGGAACACCGAUGGCGAAGGCAGCCCCCUGGGCUGACACUGACGAUCAGGCACGAAAGCGUGGGGAGCAAACAGG
Molecule: ribosomal RNA, 253 nt
Filed under: uncultured bacterium
Lineage: Bacteria
Description: partial 16S ribosomal RNA
Rfam family: Bacterial small subunit ribosomal RNA
Source: RNAcentral